Molecule: long non-coding RNA, 745 nt
Organism: Neofelis nebulosa (Clouded leopard)
Lineage: Eukaryota; Metazoa; Chordata; Mammalia; Carnivora; Felidae
Exons: 4
Source: RefSeq, a predicted model, not a curated record
UAAGGCCAUAUCAUUUAGCUGCCUACCUCUUUGGGUGAAUUUGUAUAUGUAUUUAAUAAGUAAAUAUGCAGCUAAGCAGUGAACUACAAUGCAUCAAACAGUGGGAAAUAGUAUUCCAUUUAACCUUGGGAUUUUAAAGAAGUUUCUAUUGUAAUUAGAGUACCAACCCAUAGGCAUGGGAGAUUUCAUUUUCUUCUAGCAUUGGUGCUUUUGCAACUAGGUUUUUGUGGUAUCUCUGGUGCCAAGACACCAUAGAAUUCACUUAGAAUUUAGAAUUAGAAAUCAGAAUUCCCUUGGGUUUAGAUGAGUGUUUUCAAAGGGCUAACUGGAAGGACCCUAAUAUAAAAGAUGCCAAGAGCCAUCACACAAAAAUAAGGGAAUCCUGGAAGGAGUAUCAUGGUUGUUAUUGAAUAUGGGUUGCUACAGAGACAGCAGAGAAGACUGACUUGAGAAACGUUUGGAAAAAAUAACUCAACAUCGGAAGUUGUUGGUACAUUCAUGAAGACACACUGCUACACACCCCAAUAACAGACGAAUAAGGCAUGCUCCGUACCCUGAAAAAGCUCACAGGCCAGAGCAUGAGGAAUGCAAUCUUCCAGGAGAGAAACAACACAGCAGAGAGGUACACCUGAGGUCCAGCCCAGUCCUGCUACAUGGUCAUUGAAAAUGGAAGCCUUCUUGGGACAUCGACAAAUGCUGGAGGGGCUAAUUCACAAAUAAAUCACCAAAGGAGGGAAAAUGAGGG